This 497-nucleotide ribosomal RNA is filed under the name uncultured bacterium. RNAcentral describes it as "partial 16S ribosomal RNA". It matches the Rfam family "Bacterial small subunit ribosomal RNA", at positions 28 to 507 of the family's 1533-position model. The record is from RNAcentral.
GAUGAACGCUGGCGGCGUGCCUAAUACAUGCAAGUCGAGCGGACGGACGAGAAGCUUGCUUCUUUGAUGUUAGCGGCAGACGGGUGAGUAACACGUGUAUAACCUACCUAUCAUUCUGGGAUAACUUCGGGAAACCGGAGCUAAUACCGGAUAAUAUUUUGAACCGCAUGGUUCAAUGGUGAAAGACGGUCUUGCUGUCACUUAUAGCUGCAUCCGCGCUGCAUUAGCUAGUUGGUAAGGUAACGGCUUACCACGGCAACGAUGCAUAACCGACCUGAGAGGGUGGUCGGCCACCCUGGAACUGAGACACGGUCCAGACUCCUACGGGAGGCAGCAGUAGGGAAUCUUCCGCAAUGGGCGAAAGCCUGACGGAGCAACGCCGCGUGAGUGAUGAAGGUCUUCGGAUCGUAAAACUCUGUUAUUAGGGAAGAACAUAUGUGUAAGUAACUGUGCACAGCUUGACGGUACCUAAUCAGAAAGCCACGGCUAACUACGUG